RNAcentral lists this ribosomal RNA (468 nucleotides) under uncultured bacterium. Its description in RNAcentral is "partial 16S ribosomal RNA". It matches the Rfam family "Bacterial small subunit ribosomal RNA", at positions 28 to 507 of the family's 1533-position model. The record is from RNAcentral.
GACGAACGCUGGCGGCGUGCUUAACACAUGCAAGUCGAACGGAAAGGCCCUGCUUUUGUGGGGUGCUCGAGUGGCGAACGGGUGAGUAACACGUGAGUAACCUGCCCUUGACUUUGGGAUAACUUCAGGAAACUGGGGCUAAUACCGGAUAGGAGCUCCUGCUGCAUGGUGGGGGUUGGAAAGUUUCGGCGGUUGGGGAUGGACUCGCGGCUUAUCAGCUUGUUGGUGGGGUAGUGGCUUACCAAGGCUUUGACGGGUAGCCGGCCUGAGAGGGUGACCGGCCACAUUGGGACUGAGAUACGGCGCAGACUCCUACGGGAGGCAGCAGUGGGGAAUAUUGCACAAUGGGAGGAAGCCUGAUGAAGCAACGCCGCGUGCGGGAUGACGGCCUUCGGGUUGUAAACCGCUUUCGCCUGUGACGAAGCGUGAGUGACGGUAAUGGGUAAAGAAGCACCGGCUAACUACGUG